UUGUUGUUCUUCAAACCCACAUGUUCUCUUGCUCUUGUUGUGAAUGUGUUUUGAGUGAUUUGGAAAAUUAGAUUAAUGAAAAAAACCCAACUUUUUCUAAGCACACUUAAAUUGAAGAAUGAAAGCAUUUCAUAUGCACUAAAAUUGCAUGGGUUAAAGGACGGUGUAGCUACACAGAAUAUAAACAUUGUUCAUUGUUUGUCAAAGUGCCGCUGCAGUGAGUGGAACUGGAACAACCCCGUCAGUAUUUUGCCGUCUGAAAUUGUAAAUAAGUUUCUGAUGAGCUCUUCGACUAACGACCGUAGCAGGAACAACCUCAUUAACAGGAUCUGUUUCCCCUGAUGGCGAUCUAUCUCGUUUGUCCGUCUUGUCAAGGCUUUUGGACAGAAUGUGGCAGCGACUGAAGCGCUGUGGGAUUAGGAGAAGGAAAGACAGGGAUUGGAAGAGAGCAAGUGAGGAGACAGAGUGUAGGAUGCAUGGGUGAGGGGAGGGGAGGGGAGGGGUCUGGACCAAAGUGACGCGUCACAGUUGUGAGAGAGAGUGAGGGGGAGAGAGCACGCGAGAGAGAGAGAGAGACUGAGCUCUGCUUUACAGCUUCGUUGCCGGACAGACACACACUCGCAGCAAACUCUCCCAAACACACACAGACACGUUAGUUUGGAAAUCUCUUCUCCAUUUUGGAGCAUUUCUUCUUCUGUUUCUGCGUAUGUUUGCACUCACCCGUAGUUCUACACUGGUGGAGGAGGUGGUGGUGGUGAUGUGUCUGUGUGCUGGAGUUAUGCUACUCAAUGGCAGCAUUAAGAGCAGCCUAGGUUAAGCGUUUAGGCAUUCUCUCCUCUGAGUUUCCACGGCUUGACUGAACUGGGCUAAUCUCCCUCAUGCAACUUUAAAGUUUUGUAGGGGGUUCAGAGUCAUGCACUUCCGUGUCACCAGACGGCAGAAUGUAGGCCAAGAGUUGCAGUGUGGCUGGUAACCACAGGGAAGUGAUCAAACUAUUUCAUUAUGAAUUCACUCAUUUUGUCCUUUUCUUACCCCUUAUUCAUGUUUGUAGUGUAGUUAUAAGAUAGUACUCACCUGUGACCUCACUCAUGGUCUUUUCUCUCCUGCCUUCUCAGAAAAACCACUGUAUCGUAGAUGUUCAAACGUCCUUGCCUUGAAGAUUUUCUAGCCUUUUUUGGCCUGUGACGUCAUUUCGACAAAUUUCUGGCGACCCACAGAGACAUUUUCUUUCUAGAAUUACGAUUACGAUUUUUGAUCGUGUUUGUUAUACUGUGUUGUAAAUACAGUCGUAGCCAGAUUAGCGGACAGGGUGACAUUUUAUUUGACCCGAUUACAUGAACAGUUAGACGAGUUUGUCUUCACACUGAACAAACAAUCAAUGAAUUACAAUUACAAAAGCGCUACGACAGCAUCUUAUACUGGCUGCAGUGAAGACAUGAAAGAUGAAAACUAUUAUAGUACUUUAAUUCAAUUUGCUAAAUAUAUAUAUAUUUUUUUGUCAUUUUUAAAAAAAUCUAUUACUAGACAUUUUAAUUCCAGGUGACCCCACGUGGCAUCCCGACCCCAAGGUUGAAAAACACUGUAUCUGUAUCUUAUUUUUUUGUAUGUUCCUAGGUGCUGGAGUAGAAUAGAAAAAAGUCAUUAUUUAUUUAUUUAUUUAUAUUAUUUAUAUUUGCUCUCACACAUAAUUUUAUGUAACUUCAGCCUCCCUGUUUCAGUGUAUUGAUGUGGAAACCUAAUUUAUGACAAAUAUCUUUAUUUUUCUAUAAAUAGAACUCAUCACUUCAUCACUUAGUUUUGAAUUUAAUAAUUUGUUUUGACUGAUUUUAGUCACUCUGUGUUCAUUAGCUUUAAGUUAUAGAUAGUUAUAGCUGCUAAUGCUCAAAUCUUGUCGGUGGCAGCAGUUCAACUUAAGUUUUUCUUUUUAUUCUCUAUCAAACAGCUCAGACUAAAUACACGUCUUUCAUCUGCAGACUCUUCACAUCAUCCUGACAAACUGUCCCUGAGUAAUAUCCGUUUAAAUAACCCCUCCGCCCCGCAGACAGCACUGUCAUAAUCCUGCAGCACCAUAUCCUCCUUUAAUGAAAGUCCAACUUUUUAUUUGCAUAUCCUGCACAGUCUGGUGAACACGGCGUCUACCGGUCUGUUAAAUUGAUCCUGCUGAUAUGCAGAGACUCAGAGCAGAGGUGCAUCGUUUGGACCGGUGUGUCCCAAUGAUCCCUCAUUCUCACAGCACUGCUAGAGAAACAAAACAAAAAAACAAAUCAUGCUGCAGCCAAACUUCCUGAAGGCAAAUUUAUGAGGGACCUGAAAGUUUAAACACAAGUCUGUUCUCAGCUCCUAUGGAAACCUAACAUAGUAAAUAGACAUUAAUUUUUCUCUUUCCUUUUUCUAGAGAUGGAUUCAUUCAGUGUAACAAUUUGUCUAACGUCAGAAUGUGCGUGUCAUCUAUAACAUUUGUAUACAGAUGACUCAACGUUCCGUAGAGAACAUACUUUUUUGCACAGCCCGACAGACUCCAUCCUCUCGUUUCAGGCUCAUCGAUUUCCCUCCUGCUUGUUCAACAAAACUGUUGACAGUUAAUUACACUGUAGAGCAAAUAAAGAGUUGCCGUUUUAACUUGGCCUACAUGCUGUGAAAGGGCUGGAACGGACAGACAGGGCAGGAGUGGCAGCCAAACAGCAUUAAGUAUCGAGGAGAGACAGAGAGAUGGAGCAAUUACCACAACAUUUUUAAUGUAGAAACCUCAUUAAUAGUUGGAAUCAUUUUUUUCUGAAAUACAUUAGCAUUGCUAAUGCUAUAUGAUAAGACUAGGGCUGUCAAAUUAUUGACUUUUUUAAUCAGAAUAAUUCCGAAAAUACUGUGCGUUAAUCACAAUUAAUCAUGAUUUAUCGCGGUUUUUAUGAAAUGGGAUUGAUACUUGAUAAUCCCAGAGACAAAAGACUUUUUUAGGUAUAUUUAUAUAUCUUAUCUUAUUAAAUCUAAUUAAUCACAAACAAAUAGAAUUAACAUGUUAAU
Long non-coding RNA from Cynoglossus semilaevis (tongue sole), 3018 nucleotides. RefSeq lists it as uncharacterized. The record is from RefSeq and is a predicted model, not a curated record. The transcript is spliced from 3 exons. NCBI's taxonomy places the organism in Eukaryota, Metazoa, Chordata, Actinopteri, Pleuronectiformes, Cynoglossidae.